AUACGGAGGAUGCGAGCGUUAUCCGGAUUUAUUGGGUUUAAAGGGUGCGUAGGCUGUGCGUUAAGUCAGGGGUGAAAUGCCGUCGCUCAACGACGGAGCUGCCCUUGAUACUGGCGUGCUGGAGUACGGAUGCCGUUGGAGGAAUGAGUGGAGUAGCGGUGAAAUGCUUAGAUAUCACUCAGAACACCGAUUGCGAAGGCAUCUGACGAAUCCGUCACUGACGCUGAGGCACGAAAGCGUGGGGAUAGAACAGGAUUAGAUACCCUGGUAUUCCACGCCGUAAACGAUGAUGACUAACCGUCGGCGAUAGACAGCCGGUGGCCAAGCGAAAGCGAUAAGUCAUCCACCUGGGGAGUACGUCGGCAACGAUGAAACUCAAAUGAAUUGGCGGGG
This 393-nucleotide ribosomal RNA is filed under the name uncultured bacterium. RNAcentral's name for it is "partial 16S ribosomal RNA". It matches the Rfam family "Bacterial small subunit ribosomal RNA", at positions 523 to 918 of the family's 1533-position model. The record is from RNAcentral.